This 846-nucleotide long non-coding RNA is filed under the name Equus asinus (donkey). RNAcentral describes it as "lncRNA (ENSEASG00005029925.1)". The record is from RNAcentral. Lineage: Eukaryota; Metazoa; Chordata; Mammalia; Perissodactyla; Equidae.
CUCGAACGACUUAGCUGAGUGACUUCUACAAAUAAAUUGAAUCAUUACUGACUGGAAAUGAAUCACUGCUAACAGGCUCCAGACGCGUGGGGAAAUGGACAGACCAGCCUCGGAUGUGAAGCCUAGCAUUUCGGAAUACUUUCUGUAGUGCCGGGAUUUGCAGUUAGACAAAGGCUUUGUUUACUCCUCCAUCCACCCAUCCAGCCAUCCAUCCCCAGAACCUGGCCAUGAGUACCCACAACACUAAGCUCCAGGAACAUAGAAAUGAAUAAGGGCUUAAAAGCACAGUCUCUGCGAGGGGUAGAGGAUACAGAGUGCCAGAAGAUUGCAUCAGAUUCACGUAUGCUUGUUUUCCACUGGGCAGUCCCUGGGUGUUAAAAGAGAUGAUCUAGCCGACAUGGCUUUCAGGGACUCCUUGCCUUCUGUAAUGUGGAGCCCUGAAGCUGCAAGCAGCCAUCUUGCUACCAUAAAGCUUGCAUGAUGCAUCUUGAAGCCAAAGCGAAGCAAGCUGAGAUGCUGGGGAGCCUGCUGAAAGCAUCAUUUGAAUCUCUCUCUAAGGCGUGUCUGAAGCAAGGACUACCACUUCUUCUUUUGCUGCUUCAGCUAGUUCAGAUAUUACAGCUGCUUUCGUGUGGAUUUUCCAGAGGAAGGGAUCGUGAACAGACAGAAGUGAGGGGGAAGAAUCGGAGCUCCUGAAGAGCACCGCCCGUGCCGACAGAGUAAAUAAGGGGCUCCACCAGCAGUGGGGACGACGUGGACAGCCACCCCGCACCAAAGACUAGAGCAGAUGAGCAAAGUCUGGAGGGCAGCACCAGCCUCACAAUGUUACAUAAUGUCUCUUGUGCC